RNAcentral lists this ribosomal RNA (460 nucleotides) under uncultured bacterium. Its description in RNAcentral is "partial 16S ribosomal RNA". It matches the Rfam family "Bacterial small subunit ribosomal RNA", at positions 338 to 795 of the family's 1533-position model. The record is from RNAcentral.
CCUACGGGAGGCAGCAGUUAGGAAUAUUGGUCAAUGGACGAGAGUCUGAACCAGCCAAGUAGCGUGAAGGAUGACUGCCCUAUGGGUUGUAAACUUCUUUUAUAUGGGAAUAAAACGUUCCACGUGUGGGAUUUUGUAUGUACCAUAUGAAUAAGGAUCGGCUAACUCCGUGCCAGCAGCCUCGGUAAUACGGAGGAUCCGAGCGUUAUCCGGAUUUAUUGGGUUUAAAGGGAGCGUAGGUGGAUUGUUAAGUCAGUUGUGAAAGUUUGCGGCUCAACCGUAAAAUUGCAGUUGAAACUGGCAGUCUUGAGUACAGUAGAGGUGGGCGGAAUUCGUGGUGUAGCGGUGAAAUGCUUAGAUAUCACGAAGAACUCCGAUUGCGAAGGCAGUUCACUGGACUGCAACUGACACUGAGGCUCGAAAGUGUGGGUAUCAAACAGGAUUAGAUACCCUGGUAGUC